AGCAGCCGCGGUAAUUCCAGCUCCAAUAGCGUAUAUUAAAGUUGUUGCAGUUAAAAAGCUCGUAGUUGAACUUCAGGCCUGUCCAGAUGGUCCGCCUUAAUUGGUGUGUACUGUCCUUGGGUGGGUCCUACCUUCUGGCGAAGCGGCAUGGCCUUAAUUGGUUGUGUUGGGGAACCAGGACUUUUACUGUGAAAAAAUUAGAGUGUUCAAAGCAGGCAAAUAUGCUCGAAUACAUUAGCAUGGAAUAAUGGAAUAGGACGAUGGUUCUAUUUUGUUGGUUCUAGGACCGUUGUAAUGAUUAAUAGGGAUAGUUGGGGGCAUUAGUAUUCAAUUGUCAGAGGUGAAAUUCUUGGAUUUAUUGAAGACUAACUACUGCGAAAGCAUUUGCCAAGGAUGUUUUCAUUAAUCAAGAACGAAAGUUAGGGGAUCGAAGACGAUCAGAUACCGUCGUAGUCUUAACCAUAAACUAUGCCGACUAGGAAUCGGGCGAUGUUGACAAAAUGACUCGCUCGGCACCUC
This 519-nucleotide unclassified non-coding RNA is filed under the name uncultured Paraglomus. RNAcentral describes it as "bacterial SSU rRNA". It matches the Rfam family "Eukaryotic small subunit ribosomal RNA", at positions 569 to 1089 of the family's 1831-position model. RNAcentral also lists the same sequence under 1 other name. Lineage: Eukaryota; Fungi; Glomeromycota; Glomeromycetes; Paraglomerales; Paraglomeraceae. The record is from RNAcentral.